CAAAGUUAAGGGCACACGCCUGUGACACAGCCUCAGGAAGUCCUGAUGACAUGUGCCCAAGGUGGUCAGGGCACAGCUUGGUUUUAUACAUUUUAGGGAGACGUAAGACAUUAAUCAAUAUGUGUAAGAAGUACACUGGUUCCAUCCAGAAAGGCAAAGGCUUCUGUAAAAAGUAAAAGUAGAGGUUCCUCUUCAAAGACUUUCCUCCCCAUGUAACUAGGAAUAAAUAGUAACUUCUCUUAGAAGCAAAAUUUAUUCAAAGACCUAUGCUCCUAAAUAUUUGCCCUGGCAUGCUUAUACUGGUCCAAGCAAGCAUUAGGUCAUAGCCUGUUCCUCUUCCUUAUUUAAAAGUUUUUUUUACCUUUCUCAGCAUUCCACAAGUUACUUCCUCCUUCCUUUGUUCUCCUCUGCCUUUGCCUCUUUAAAAAAGUUCUAAGGUGCUAGCCAGUCGGGACAAAUACAGAAUGUGAGGUCCUGUUCCAGCCAAUGGAAACCAGACACAACAGUAGGGUGGAUGCGUCAGGUUAUAAAUGACCCUGUCUCCUUUGUUCGGUGUACUCUCAUGGCAAAACUGCUGGUGAGUGUACCUUUUCUACAGGAAGUAAAAAUGGCCUUACUAAAUAAAUUAAAUUAUGUCCAAGUGCUAUUUCUUUAUGGCACCGGGAGCAAGCAUUUAAAAGACUUCCAUGUCACAGGAAGAUUGUGCUUGAGAAACAAUCAUCAAGUCUGUUGGUCCACAUCUCCCGCGCACUCCCUGGAUACCCCCAACAGGCCAAUCCAUCAAGCCACAGCUCAGUUUCCAGGGCUUUAAGAGAAGCAGAAGAAACGCUUCCACAGUCCUCAUUGUGUGCAGGGAAUGAGCAUGAGUUAUGGGGGCUCCUCAAUGCUGAGCCUAGCCACCCCACUGCUGCAUCCCCACAGCCCUUCCAGAGGGUCUCUAUCCCUCCUUAUCUAAGAGCAAAUCCGGGCUCCAUGUCACUGAGUGCUUACUCAUCCCCAGGAAGAGGCAGUUGUUGCACUACGGGGUUUUUUUCUGUAAUAAAUGUCCUUUAUUUUAUCAGAGCAUGGCACUGAAAGAAAAGAAAUCAAAUGUAUAACUUGCAAACCAGUGGAGUGAGGAAAAGAGGAGGAGGUGCGUAAAACACAACCAACCCAAAAGAAGGGGGUUGAUG
This 1172-nucleotide long non-coding RNA is filed under the name Homo sapiens (human). RNAcentral's name for it is "non-protein coding lnc-PDE9A-1:1". The record is from RNAcentral. Lineage: Eukaryota; Metazoa; Chordata; Mammalia; Primates; Hominidae.